This 207-nucleotide ribosomal RNA is filed under the name Enterococcus faecalis PF3. RNAcentral describes it as "partial 23S ribosomal RNA". It matches the Rfam family "Bacterial large subunit ribosomal RNA", at positions 1 to 199 of the family's 2925-position model. Lineage: Bacteria; Bacillati; Bacillota; Bacilli; Lactobacillales; Enterococcaceae. The record is from RNAcentral.
GGGUUGUGAGGUUAAGCGACUAAGCGUACACGGUGGAUGCCCUGGCAGUCAGAGGCGAUGAAGGACGUGCUAAUCUGCGAUAAGCGUCGGUAAGGUGAUAUGAACCGUUAUAACCGGCGAUUUCCGAAUGGGGAAACCCAGUGUGAUUCGUCACACUAUCAUUACGUGAAUACAUAGCGUAAUGAAGCGAACCGGGGGAACUGAAAC